GUCUACCAUGCAGUCGAACGGAAGGCCCUUCGGGGUACUCGAGUGGCGAACGGGUGAGUAACACGUGGGUGAUCUGCCCUGCACUUUGGGAUAAGCCUGGGAAACUGGGUCUAAUACCGAAUACACCCUUCUGGCUGCAUGGUCUGGGAGGGGAAAGCUUUUGCGGUGUGGGAUGGGCCCGCGGCCUAUCAGCUUGUUGGUGAGGUUAUGGCUUACCAAGGCGACGACGGGUAGCCGGCCUGAGAGGGUGACCGGCCACACUGGGACUGAGAUACGGCCCAGACUCCUACGGGAGGCAGCAGUGGGGAAUAUUGCACAAUGGGCGCAAGCCUGAUGCAGCGACGCCGCGUGAGGGAUGACGGCCUUCGGGUUGUAAACCUCUUUCGCCAGGGACGAAGCGCAAGUGACGGUACCUGGAGAAGAAGGACCGGCCAACUACGUGCCAGCAGCCGCGGUAAUACGUAGGGUCCGAGCGUUGUCCGGAAUUACUGGGCGUAAAGAGCUCGUAGGUGGUUUGUCGCGUUGUCCGUGAAAACUCACAGCUCAACUGUGGGCGUGCGGGCGAUACGGGCAGACUGGAGUACUGCAGGGGAGACUGGAAUUCCUGGUGUAGCGGUGGAAUGCGCAGAUAUCAGGAGGAACACCGGUGGCGAAGGCGGGUCUCUGGGCAGUAACUGACGCUGAGGAGCGAAAGCGUGGGGAGCGAACAGGAUUAGAUACCCUGGUAGUCCACGCCGUAAACGGUGGGUACUAGGUGUGGGUUUCCUUCCUUGGGAUCCGUGCCGUAGCUAACGCAUUAAGUACCCCGCCUGGGGAGUACGGCCGCAAGGCUAAAACUCAAAGAAAUUGACGGGGGCCCGCACAAGCGGCGGAGCAUGUGGAUUAAUUCGAUGCAACGCGAAGAACCUUACCUGGGUUUGACAUGCACAGGACGCCGGCAGAGAUGUCGGUUCCCUUGUGGCCUGUGUGCAGGUGGUGCAUGGCUGUCGUCAGCUCGUGUCGUGAGAUGUUGGGUUAAGUCCCGCAACGAGCGCAACCCUUAUCUUAUGUUGCCAGCGCGUAAUGGCGGGGACUCGUGAAAAACUGCCGGGGUCAACUCGGAGGAAAGUUGGGGAUGACGUCAAGUCAUCAGGCCCCUUAUGUCCAGGGCUUCAACAAUGCUACAAUGGCCGGUACAAAGGGCUNCCAUUCCCUUGA
RNAcentral lists this ribosomal RNA (1197 nucleotides) under bacterium. RNAcentral's name for it is "bacterial SSU rRNA". It matches the Rfam family "Bacterial small subunit ribosomal RNA", at positions 46 to 1260 of the family's 1533-position model. The record is from RNAcentral.